This 484-nucleotide ribosomal RNA is filed under the name uncultured bacterium. RNAcentral describes it as "partial 16S ribosomal RNA". It matches the Rfam family "Bacterial small subunit ribosomal RNA", at positions 30 to 507 of the family's 1533-position model. The record is from RNAcentral.
AUUGAACGCUAGCGGCAUGCUUUACACAUGCAAGUCGAGCGGAAGCGCGGAGCUUGCUCCGGCGGCGAGUGGCGGACGGGGGAGUAAUACAUAGGAAUAUGCCCACUAUUAGGGGAUGACUACGCGAAAGAGUCGCUAAUACCACAUACGAACUAAGGGGGAAAGAAGGGGAUCUUAAGACAUUACGCUUUUGGAGCGGCCCAUGCCGGAUUAGCUAGUUGGUGGGGUAAAGGCUUACCAAGGCGACGAUCCGUAGCCGGUCUGAGAGGGUGACCGGCCACACUGGAACUGAGACACGGUCCAGACUCCUACGGGAGGCAGCAGUGGGGAAUUUUCGGCAAUGGGCGCAAGCCUGACGGAGCCACGCCGCGUGAGUGAUGAAGGUCUUCGGAUCGUAAAACUCUGUUAUUAGGGAAGAACAAAUGUGUAAGAAACUAUGCACGUCUUGACGUUACCUAAUGAAAAAGCACCGGCUAACUACGUG